Molecule: long non-coding RNA, 561 nt
Organism: Homo sapiens (human)
Lineage: Eukaryota; Metazoa; Chordata; Mammalia; Primates; Hominidae
Gene: SRCAP-AS1
Product: SRCAP antisense RNA 1
Exons: 2
Source: RefSeq, marked validated
CUCUCCUUACCUGCGUCCUCGGGGGCGUGCGCACCACCCCCCCUCCCGCCUAGGAGGGGGGAGGGCCCCCUCUUGGCCACCGCCUUCGCGGCCUUUAAACUCCCCUGGAGACUGCGGCUACUGCCACCGCCUUGCCUCCACUGCCUCUUCGCGCAGCACACAGAUGCGGACGGUGGGUGGGAAAAAGGGCAGACGCUACUCCCAGCGAACCGCCGCUGCCGCUCCCGAGGCCUCACCAAAAUGGCCGCCGCCGUCUCGGCCGCCACCACCACCACUACCACCACCACUCGCUCGGAAUCGCUAUCGCCGGCGCGGCCCGUCUUCUCGCGAGAGACAAUCACCCAGUAAGCUGCAGCAAGUUAGCAGUGGAACCUGGGCCUCCCGAUUCCCAUGGCAGCCCACUUCUGUAGCGCUGCUUCGUUUUACGCGAGGAUGGUUUCCUGAUAGCUUUCAAACACCUUUGCCAUCUCUUCGCAAACUUUCUAGAUUAAGAAUCCCUUUGAGAAUCUGAUACCUUUACCCCAGAAUAGAACAAUAAAUAACAGCUACCUUCUACUGACA